Molecule: long non-coding RNA, 145 nt
Organism: Juglans microcarpa x Juglans regia
Lineage: Eukaryota; Viridiplantae; Streptophyta; Magnoliopsida; Fagales; Juglandaceae
Exons: 3
Source: RefSeq, a predicted model, not a curated record
AGUUUUGGACCAAAAUUGCACCGAUACCUUCGAUGUUCAGUCAUAAAUGCAAUUAUUAACAUUUAUCAAACAAUAACUAUCCCACCUUAUAAACGCAGAUCAAAUGUCAACUUUCAAGUCAAUGCCAGUUAUUCCAUGAUUCAAA